AUGCAAAUCUGUUCAGAAGCAUAUAUAUUAUGCUUUGCUUUGCUGACAUUCUAUUUUGAAGAACGGUUUGCUACAGUUAUCAUGCGGAUAAGAGAACCAAAAACUACCACAUUGAUAUCUGCUUCAGGAAAAAUGGUUUGCACUGGAGCAAAAAGUGAACAACAAUGUAAACUCGCAGCUAGAAAGGUCAAAUAUUUGACGAUGUUUUCUUCUCCCAACCUGGCAAGGUAUUGUACUACCUACAUGCAUCACAUUACUGGAAGGAGUAAGAAGUCAGUUGGAGUGAGAAGUGAGACAAGUACCAUGAGCUCAAGUGAUCCAUUCACCAAGCUGGUAAACGCAUAA
Molecule: ribosomal RNA, 345 nt
Filed under: Triticum aestivum (bread wheat)
Lineage: Eukaryota; Viridiplantae; Streptophyta; Magnoliopsida; Poales; Poaceae
Description: partial small subunit ribosomal RNA
Source: RNAcentral